Molecule: transfer RNA, 57 nt
Filed under: Haemonchus contortus (barber pole worm)
Lineage: Eukaryota; Metazoa; Nematoda; Chromadorea; Rhabditida; Trichostrongylidae
Description: tRNA-Met
Source: RNAcentral
AAUAGAGUAGGAUAAAUAUAAGUCUGUUGGGUUCAUACCUCAAAGGUUAAUCUGUUA